GCCCGGUUAGCUCAGUCGGUAAAGCACCAGACUCUUAAUCCGGUUGUCGCGGGUUCGAGUCCCGCAUUGAUUU
Molecule: transfer RNA, 73 nt
Filed under: Caenorhabditis briggsae
Lineage: Eukaryota; Metazoa; Nematoda; Chromadorea; Rhabditida; Rhabditidae
Description: tRNA CBG29062
Rfam family: tRNA
About the family: Transfer RNA (tRNA) molecules are approximately 80 nucleotides in length.
Source: Rfam by way of RNAcentral